Molecule: non-coding RNA, 1216 nt
Organism: Linepithema humile (Argentine ant)
Lineage: Eukaryota; Metazoa; Arthropoda; Insecta; Hymenoptera; Formicidae
Source: RefSeq, a predicted model, not a curated record
GUCCGUGUCUUCAAGAGGCAUCGAUCGUAAAUUCGAUCAAAUCAAUCCAAACUGAUGGUUCUUAUUUAUGUAUGUGUCGUAGCUUGCGAUAAUUUUUGGAGCAUUCAAACGUCGGCGUCUUGUGAAAUUACAUCACUCGUCCCAAAUAAAGCAUCUGAAGACGAAAAAAAAUGCAUAAUUUGCGCAUAAAUUGUGUUUCGAGCUCCACUCUCGCCGCGUUCCGCGAUUUGAUCGGAAGCUCCUAAAGGGUACGGAUGCGGAUAUGUACAUCCGAUCAACUUGUUUCCGAAGCCGGCAAGAUAGCUACUUGAUUUUGAUCGACAAUUCGGCGUAUCUCACGAGUGAUAAUUCUGAGCAUGUGUCAUUACGCCGUGACACACAAAAGCAAGACGAAAGGCUUCAUAGCGGAAUCUUCAGAUUGACAUCUUGUCAUGAACAUGAAUUUGAAGCUAUAGCGAAGUGUCUUUACAUGAUCCAUAAACAACAUUUGCAAAUGAUUUCAGUUCGCAAAAAAUUAAUGUGAUUGAUCUUUGCAUUUGGAAAUUUAAAGUUGUAAUAAGCAGAGAAUCUUUCUACAUUCAACGAGUAGCAAUCGUGGAAUUUGAAGCUAUAGCGAAGUGUCUUUGCAUGUUCCACAAACAACAUUUGCAAAUGAUUGCAGUUCACAAAAAAAUAAUGUGAUUGUUCUUUGUAUUUGGAAAUUUAAAAUUGUAAGCAGAGAAUCUUUCUACAUUCAACGAGUAGCAGUUAUGAAAUAAUUGUGUGAUUAUUUGAGGCGAGACACAGAAUCGUGGUGCCAUUACUUCAAUACUUGAAUUUUCGACACUUUUUUGUUAUGGAUAAUGUCUACAAUACAUUGGUACAAAGCUUAUAAAAAUGCACCGAUGAUUAAGGAAAAUGGAUGAAGGUAAACGUUAGUUUUCCGGUUGCUCGUCACAUAAACAGAUUGAAUUGUGCUUUUUAUUGAUUUGUCUGGUUUUGCAACUACUGCUUGCAACUACUUUGCAAUUUUUAAACAUGUGUAACAAGUUUAUCGGGAGUGCCGUUUCGGUCGAUUGGCCAAAAAAGUAUCGCGCGUUUCGUGUUUGAAUAUGCGCGCGAGCAAUGCGUGCGAAUCGUAUCAAGUUAGUGUUUUUCGCGAACGCGUGUGAAAAUGUGCCAUGAAGGAUUAGGAAUAAGGAGGUCCAGAGAGGCAUCAGGCGACAAUGGAACAAUA